RNAcentral lists this unclassified non-coding RNA (711 nucleotides) under Hevea brasiliensis (rubber tree). The record is from RNAcentral. Lineage: Eukaryota; Viridiplantae; Streptophyta; Magnoliopsida; Malpighiales; Euphorbiaceae.
ACAAUAAGCCCAUUGGCCCAAAUAAUUACAACACCAGGUCUAACAGGGGAAGAACGAGGACAGGUAGGGUUGCUUACUCCACCUCCUCCUGGUAGAUAGGUAGCUCCUACUAUCUUCGCUAUCGUUUGGGAAGCAAUCAAGCAGUCCGAGCAAAGAGAGAACAAAUAAGAUAGAAGGAUAACACCAUAUUCACUUAAGCUUCCAGAAACGGCUCGGAGCCUUGGUCAAAGAACAACUAGAUUCAAGCUCCAUGAAAGGCUUGAAAAGUUGAUGUGUAGAGCUCUAACGACAAUCUUGUCUUCAUGGGUCAGGCGAUUAUCAAAACGCCGACUAUUCAUCCCUGUGGCACGCAACACUCUCCCGUGGGGCAGCCUCAAAGCAUAAGCAACUAGCCAAGCCAAAACUACAAGCUUCUUAGGCUGGCGAAAGGACAACACAUGUAGGACCAAACAAAACCCUCUCGCAUGACCAUAAUCCCUGCAAUUAAAAGACAACCAAAAACCUGUCUAAAAUCCUACCUAGAGAUGGGGAGGGAGAGAUCCACGUCCAAGCAAGGAAAGGAGAGCCAUCUCUUACUUGGGGAUAAGGGACAAUCGAAGAAUUCGGCAGAGAAGAACCAUGUCUCCAAAAACCCAAAAACCAAUAAAAAGAAGAUUUCUCUCUAAACAAUCGGAGAGAUAGCAGCCCCCCUAAUUUUGUUUCUGUUUAGAG